RNAcentral lists this ribosomal RNA (460 nucleotides) under uncultured bacterium. RNAcentral describes it as "partial 16S ribosomal RNA". It matches the Rfam family "Bacterial small subunit ribosomal RNA", at positions 338 to 795 of the family's 1533-position model. The record is from RNAcentral.
CCUACGGGAGGCAGCAGUGAGGAAUAUUGGUCAAUGGACGAGAGUCUGAACCAGCCAAGUAGCGUGAAGGGUGACUGCCCUAUGGGUUGUAAACUUCUUUUAUAAAGGAAUAAAACGAGGCACGUGUGCCUUUUUGCAUGUACUUUAUGAAUAAGGAUCGGCUAACUCCGUGCCAGCAGCCGCGGUAAUACGGAGGAUCCGAGCGUUAUCCGGCUUUAUUGGGUUUAAAGGGAGCGUAGAUGGGUUGUUAAGUCAGUUGUUAAAGUUUGCGGCUCAACCGUAAAAUUGCAAUUGAUACCGGCAGUCUUGAGUACAGUUGAGGUAGGCGGAAUUCGUGGUGUAGCGGUGAAAUGCUUAGAUAUCACGAAGAACCCCGAUUGCGAAGGCAGCUUACUAAACUGUGACUGACAUUGAUGCUCGAAAGUGUGGGUAUCAAACAGGAUUAGAUACCCCUGUAGUC